CCUCGUCUGCAAACACCUUCUUUUCCGCUGACUCUUCUUCUUCCUCUCAUAAAAGUUGCACAGUCACCCACAAACGAAAGGAAGACCUGCAGAUGCACAAAAUCUGAAUCCAGAUGUGGUGUUUCUCUCUCUCUCCUUUGCAGCGACGUCUCUCUCUCCAAGCCACAGCAAAGACGAACCUGUAGCAACAAGAAUGAAGCUGCAGCGGUUGAAGACGGGGAAAGCAACUCGGCCUUGUCAUUCGAACCUGCACUCGCAUUCACUUUCUCUGACCGAGUCAAGCAGAGCAGACUUUUGAUGCCUUCCUAGGUUCUUCGCCGGUUUAGCAACCUCAGCCUGACAGAGCACUAUAUAAAAAAUAAAAAUAUAUAUAUAUAUAUAUUUAUAUAUGCGGCAAACCGUCCUCAGCAAUAAAACAUACCUCACAGAGUGAAGGCAGCGCCCUCCUUCCUCUUCUCCAUUGGUGGAAACAUUUGCAGCGCCAUCGAGGACGAUAAACGGAAGCCCGAGCGGUUGUAGCAACUAUGCUGCAGUCCUUCAUCCUUCCGUCCUCAUACUCUCAUGCAACUCUCCCUGAA
RNAcentral lists this long non-coding RNA (578 nucleotides) under Malus domestica (apple). Its description in RNAcentral is "long non-coding RNA (MDOM_LNC014673)". Lineage: Eukaryota; Viridiplantae; Streptophyta; Magnoliopsida; Rosales; Rosaceae. The record is from RNAcentral.